UUUUCAGGGACGCUUGGCGGCCGAGAGCGAGUGUUGCGAGACAACAAAAAGCUCGACCUCAAAUCAGGUAGGAAUACCCGCUGAACUUAAGCAUAUCAAUAAGCGGAGGAAAAGAAACAACAGGAUUGCCUCAGUAGCGGCGAGUGAAGCGGCAAGAGCUCAGAUUUGAAAUCGUGCUUUGCGGCACGAGUUGUAGAUUGCAGGUUGGAGUCUGUGUGGAAGGCGGUGUCCAAGUCCCUUGGAACAGGGCGCCCAGGAGGGUGAGAGCCCCGUGGGAUGCCGGCGGAAGCAGUGAGGCCCUUCUGACGAGUCGAGUUGUUUGGGAAUGCAGCUCCAAGCGGGUGGUAAAUUCCAUCUAAGGCUAAAUACUGGCGAGAGACCGAUAGCGAACAAGUACUGUGAAGGAAAGAUGAAAAGCACUUUGAAAAGAGAGUGAAACAGCACGUGAAAUUGUUGAAAGGGAAGGGUAUUGCGCCCGACAUGGGGAUUGCGCACCGCUGCCUCUCGUGGGCGGCGCUCUGGGCUUUCCCUGGGCCAGCAUCGGUUCUUGCUGCAGGAGAAGGGGUUCUGGAACGUGGCUCUUCGGAGUGUUAUAGCCAGGGCCAGAUGCUGCGUGCGGGGACCGAGGACUGCGGCCGUGUAGUCACGAUGCUGCAGACGGCCAACACCGUGGG
RNAcentral lists this ribosomal RNA (674 nucleotides) under Pichia kudriavzevii. Its description in RNAcentral is "LSU rRNA". It matches the Rfam family "Eukaryotic large subunit ribosomal RNA", at positions 1 to 651 of the family's 3401-position model. Lineage: Eukaryota; Fungi; Ascomycota; Pichiomycetes; Pichiales; Pichiaceae. The record is from RNAcentral.